This 2497-nucleotide ribosomal RNA is filed under the name Staphylococcus aureus. Its description in RNAcentral is "bacterial LSU rRNA". It matches the Rfam family "Bacterial large subunit ribosomal RNA", at positions 423 to 2925 of the family's 2925-position model. Lineage: Bacteria; Bacillati; Bacillota; Bacilli; Caryophanales; Staphylococcaceae. The record is from RNAcentral.
CACGUGAAAUUCCGUCGGAAUCUGGGAGGACCAUCUCCUAAGGCUAAAUACUCUCUAGUGACCGAUAGUGAACCAGUACCGUGAGGGAAAGGUGAAAAGCACCCCGGAAGGGGAGUGAAAUAGAACCUGAAACCGUGUGCUUACAAGUAGUCAGAGCCCGUUAAUGGGUGAUGGCGUGCCUUUUGUAGAAUGAACCGGCGAGUUACGAUUUGAUGCAAGGUUAAGCAGUAAAUGUGGAGCCGUAGCGAAAGCGAGUCUGAAUAGGGCGUUUAGUAUUUGGUCGUAGACCCGAAACCAGGUGAUCUACCCUUGGUCAGGUUGAAGUUCAGGUAACACUGAAUGGAGGACCGAACCGACUUACGUUGAAAAGUGAGCGGAUGAACUGAGGGUAGCGGAGAAAUUCCAAUCGAACCUGGAGAUAGCUGGUUCUCUCCGAAAUAGCUUUAGGGCUAGCCUCAAGUGAUGAUUAUUGGAGGUAGAGCACUGUUUGGACGAGGGGCCCCUCUCGGGUUACCGAAUUCAGACAAACUCCGAAUGCCAAUUAAUUUAACUUGGGAGUCAGAACAUGGGUGAUAAGGUCCGUGUUCGAAAGGGAAACAGCCCAGACCACCAGCUAAGGUCCCAAAAUAUAUGUUAAGUGGAAAAGGAUGUGGCGUUGCCCAGACAACUAGGAUGUUGGCUUAGAAGCAGCCAUCAUUUAAAGAGUGCGUAAUAGCUCACUAGUCGAGUGACACUGCGCCGAAAAUGUACCGGGGCUAAACAUAUUACCGAAGCUGUGGAUUGUCCUUUGGACAAUGGUAGGAGAGCGUUCUAAGGGCGUUGAAGCAUGAUCGUAAGGACAUGUGGAGCGCUUAGAAGUGAGAAUGCCGGUGUGAGUAGCGAAAGACGGGUGAGAAUCCCGUCCACCGAUUGACUAAGGUUUCCAGAGGAAGGCUCGUCCGCUCUGGGUUAGUCGGGUCCUAAGCUGAGGCCGACAGGCGUAGGCGAUGGAUAACAGGUUGAUAUUCCUGUACCACCUAUAAUCGUUUUAAUCGAUGGGGGGACGCAGUAGGAUAGGCGAAGCGUGCGAUUGGAUUGCACGUCUAAGCAGUAAGGCUGAGUAUUAGGCAAAUCCGGUACUCGUUAAGGCUGAGCUGUGAUGGGGAGAAGACAUUGUGUCUUCGAGUCGUUGAUUUCACACUGCCGAGAAAAGCCUCUAGAUAGAAAAUAGGUGCCCGUACCGCAAACCGACACAGGUAGUCAAGAUGAGAAUUCUAAGGUGAGCGAGCGAACUCUCGUUAAGGAACUCGGCAAAAUGACCCCGUAACUUCGGGAGAAGGGGUGCUCUUUAGGGUUAACGCCCAGAAGAGCCGCAGUGAAUAGGCCCAAGCGACUGUUUAUCAAAAACACAGGUCUCUGCUAAACCGUAAGGUGAUGUAUAGGGGCUGACGCCUGCCCGGUGCUGGAAGGUUAAGAGGAGUGGUUAGCUUCUGCGAAGCUACGAAUCGAAGCCCCAGUAAACGGCGGCCGUAACUAUAACGGUCCUAAGGUAGCGAAAUUCCUUGUCGGGUAAGUUCCGACCCGCACGAAAGGCGUAACGAUUUGGGCACUGUCUCAACGAGAGACUCGGUGAAAUCAUAGUACCUGUGAAGAUGCAGGUUACCCGCGACAGGACGGAAAGACCCCGUGGAGCUUUACUGUAGCCUGAUAUUGAAAUUCGGCACAGCUUGUACAGGAUAGGUAGGAGCCUUUGAAACGUGAGCGCUAGCUUACGUGGAGGCGCUGGUGGGAUACUACCCUAGCUGUGUUGGCUUUCUAACCCGCACCACUUAUCGUGGUGGGAGACAGUGUCAGGCGGGCAGUUUGACUGGGGCGGUCGCCUCCUAAAAGGUAACGGAGGCGCUCAAAGGUUCCCUCAGAAUGGUUGGAAAUCAUUCAUAGAGUGUAAAGGCAUAAGGGAGCUUGACUGCGAGACCUACAAGUCGAGCAGGGUCGAAAGACGGACUUAGUGAUCCGGUGGUUCCGCAUGGAAGGGCCAUCGCUCAACGGAUAAAAGCUACCCCGGGGAUAACAGGCUUAUCUCCCCCAAGAGUUCACAUCGACGGGGAGGUUUGGCACCUCGAUGUCGGCUCAUCGCAUCCUGGGGCUGUAGUCGGUCCCAAGGGUUGGGCUGUUCGCCCAUUAAAGCGGUACGCGAGCUGGGUUCAGAACGUCGUGAGACAGUUCGGUCCCUAUCCGUCGUGGGCGUAGGAAAUUUGAGAGGAGCUGUCCUUAGUACGAGAGGACCGGGAUGGACAUACCUCUGGUGUACCAGUUGUCGUGCCAACGGCAUAGCUGGGUAGCUAUGUGUGGACGGGAUAAGUGCUGAAAGCAUCUAAGCAUGAAGCCCCCCUCAAGAUGAGAUUUCCCAACUUCGGUUAUAAGAUCCCUCAAAGAUGAUGAGGUUAAUAGGUUCGAGGUGGAAGCAUGGUGACAUGUGGAGCUGACGAAUACUAAUCGAUCGAAGACUUAAUCAAAA